CACAGCACAGUCGCUACACGUGUGCGGGGCAUCUAGGGACACAUCAGCCCUGGUGAGGGGCAUGGCAGCCGGUUCCAGGCUCCGUCCUUUUCAGAAUAAGUCACAGGACAGGUAAAUGAUCACCUUUGGCCCGUGGGUGAACUUGUGUACAUCCAAAUCCCAGAGGAAUGUUAUUUAUGAACAGUGCCGUUAACAAACAAAUAUUGCGGGUUUGUGGCGGGAGCCGGGGUGGGGGGGACAGGGGUGGGGGGCCCAGAGGUGAGCAGAGAAGGGCAUCUGUUGUCCCAAAGGGCCCAGCGUUGGGGUGGACUGCACCGUCCACGUCAUGAAGUGGAGGGCACACCACGUGUGGGGCUCAGGGGAGGGGAGUAGAAUGUUCCAGGAGUGGGUCAGAGGAGACUGAUUCCAGGAGGCACGUUUGAGCCAGGCUGGGGACGCUGGGGACCAGUGUCUGUCCCAGCGGUGGGGCCACCGCAGAGAAGUGGGCAAGGGAGAGGACAGACAGACGGAAGGUGGACCCAGAGGCGGGCGGGCGCUGGAAGCCAGGCUGGGGUGGGGUGCAGGCAGGGUUUGCCCAGGCUGCAAACAGACACGGGACAGUGGAAACCGGCUUAGAACAAUUCAGGAUUUAGUGGGCGGAGGAACUUGUGACUAGUUUGGUUGGGACCCAAUGAAAACCCGACACUGGGGUUGCCUGGGUGGCUCCAUCGGUGAAGCAUCCGACUCUCGAUUUUGCCUCAGGUCACGACCUCGCGGUUUCUGAGUUCGAGGUUGGCAUCGGAUUCUGCACUGACUGUGUCGAACCUGCUUGGAAUUCUCUCUCUCUCUCUCUCUCUCUCUCUCAAAAUAAAUAACCUUAAAAAAUUUUUUAAAAAGACCAUCAAAGAAGCAGGCAGAGACUUAUAUAUAAAGAUGUCGAAAGCAGGAGAUUAGAGAAAAACUGGAAAUACUUCAAUUGUCCCAUAACAAGGGAUUGAGAUAAAUUUGGGCUCAGCCAUACAGCUAAAUUCAACACCAGGUAGCAGCAAAAGGGCUCUUGCAGAUUGACAGGAACCUGCGAAGACUAUUCAUGACGCAUCCGUGCACAUGGAAAAUACACUGCACAACAUUACCUACCAACUGAUCUCCUUUUGGUAAAAACGCGUUUAUGUGAGUACAUUCAUUAACUACUCAGCUUUUUAGAGAAGGGACAAUCCAAAGAAUUAUUCCAUUUUAAUUGUGAUGAGCGAUCACUGGAAGAGUGUGUGCUCAGUGUGUGUGAUGGGGAAGAGACCCGACCAAUUAGCACUUGCGGGGUAAGUAAGAAUACACAGCAAAAUGCUUUGUGACUUUAAUUUUUCUUUUUUUAAAUUUUUUUAACAUGUAUUUAUUUAUGAGAGACCAAGAGUGCGAGCAGGGUAGGGGCAAACAGAGAGAGAGACACAAAAUUGAAGCAGGCUCCAGGCUCCGAGCUGUCAGCACAGAGCCCGACGCGGGGCUCGAACUCACAGACUGUGAGAUCGUGACCUGAGCUGAAGUCGGACGCCCAGCCGACUGAGCCCCCCAGGCGCCCCUAAUUUUUCUUUUUAAUUAGCUGUGUGUCCUAGGUUACUUGGGGGAGAAAUAUUUACUUUUCAAUAAUUUUUAAAAUGAAAAGGAAAGAAGCAAGUGUGAAAGUAAGAAAAAGGAAGGAAUGUGUGUGUUCAAGGACUCACGGAAGAGAGACCUUCCAGAAGACAGUCAACUGCAUCGGCUACUCUGAAAGACCCAACAGGAUGAAGACCAAGAGAAAGAAAGGAGGAAGCCACCGAUGACCUCGCCUUUCUUUGGGGAAACGUUUAUUUAUCACCGUUUAUCUCCAGCCACCUUUGUCUCUCAGCCCAGACCCACAUUUUCCAUGGCCUCCUCCUGAACAUCAUUGCCUUGCUAUUCCUUGGCUAGUUCAAGCUUAGCAUACCCCAAACAGAGCUCCACCCCUUCACUCCAGCCCCCCCAGCCCCUGAUCAGACAGACAGACACCAGACCCAUUCACCUGUUUUCUCCAUCCUCCUUGGUUACGUCACCAUCCACCCUCAUCCGCUGAGUAGCAUUCCAGAAUCUUCCCUUCCUCUCCCGGUGCACAUUUAGAUGACCCUUUAAAUAUCUCUUUGGCUAAUCUCUCCUCUCUAACCUCGAGGCUACAGCCUUAGGCCUUCCUCAUCUCUUAUCUAGACCAGCUCACCACCACCUUACCCCUGGUCCUCCCACUCUUAACCCGCCCUCCACACCUUCACAGACUCUGAAUGUCUUUGGACCAUUUGACUGACACAUAACACCCCAUUCCCAUUCUCCCCAGAAAAAAAGUCUUCCUUCUUUAAAAUAUCGCAAAUAAUAAGACAGUGAACAUCUGUGUCGAUACGACUCACUUUAAUCAUUCAGAUUAUUUCCUAGAGAUAAAUUCCCAGGGUUGAAGGCUAUGGGAUAUUGGUAUCUAUCAACACUUUCACACAUCUGAAACUGAACACGAACACACCUCCCACCUGCCCGCCCCCCCUUUUGGUCUCCAUCUUACGUGUCUUUUUUAAAAAAAACUUAAUUUUUGUGCCAUGACUCUGCUUGGAUUUUUUCUUCUCUUUUAAAUUGGGUCCCAGUGAUCUUUUUAUCGAGACAAAUUAUUUUGGUUUUAAAGCAGUAUGUGUCGAGGCCCCUUCCUCCCCCCUUUCUUUGUUUGUGUUUUGGUUUUGCUUUUACACACACACUGCUUCGGGUUAUAAGAACUUUUUUCUAACUGGCAGGCAUCUCACGACUUCUGUCAUGUGGCAACUUCUCCCCAGGGAGCUCUUUUAAAAAGCAGGGCAGGAGUGGGUGGGAAGUUGGGCCUGCUUUCUUCCAGGUGCUCCAAGGUGAUAGUAAAAGAAAAAAAAAAUGAAGAGAAGGCCAUCUGUGUUGUGGUGGGCACUUCAUUCUCGUCAGUCCUAAUGAGCUAUUUUCUUUCUUUCUUUCUUUCUUUCUUUCUUUCUUUCUUUCUUUCUUUCUUUCUUUCUUUUUUAAGGUUUAUUUAUUCUUGAGAGAGAGACAGAGACAGAGACAAUGCAAGCGGGGGAGGGACAGAAAGAGAGAGAGAGAGGGAGUCACAGAAUCCGAAGCAGGCUCCAGGCUCCGAGCUGUCAGCACAGAGCCCGACAAGGGGCUGGAACUCACAACCGCAGGAUCAUGACGUGAGCUGAAGUCAGACGCUUAACCGACUGAGCCACGCAGGCGCCCCAUCCAUUUUUUCUUUCUUUCUUUCUUUCUUUCUUUCUUUCUUUCUUUCUUUCUUUCAUAAAGAAAAAUUUAGUAGGCAAGGUCUCUGGAUCUGGAGAUACGGAAGCUCUCCCUUGAAUAGUUUGGGGCAGCCUUUGGACUGCCCUGGAAUUUGCACAAGGAUAAAACAAUCGCUGAAUAACUGGUUUCCUCUCCUUUUGUGGGAUUGAUUAGCAUUACUCAGGAAUCUUAUCCAAGGAUGUCAGUGCCAUGGGUGCUUAUAAAUGCUAGACUGAUCCUAUAUGCUCUCUUAAUUUUGGGCUAGCGGAGAGAUUCCAAAAGAACUUGGGUCAUUCGUAUAAACCACUGGCUUCUAAUAGGACUCACCAUCUCUAAGUUAAAUAGGCAUUUUUAGCAAUACAAGUUGCCCUCAAAUCAGGAAUAGUCUGGGAAUGUUGCUCGAACGCCUUUAUCAACUCCUUUCUGUUUUCCAAGUCCCUGACCCGCUUCCUCAUCCGCACAGAUGACCCAGAGAUGGUAAAGGAAUGUCUCUGACUUCGGAUACAAACACUCUUGUCCCCUCCUACUUACCUUGUCAUCUGCUCAGUAAAGGUUCUUGGAAGGAACUCUGACCCUCAUGGCCCAGAGCUUUUGCCCAUGCUACUGACUCUGUCCAUGUGCUCUCCACCCCCACCCCUUCCUUCCUUCCAGUUUCAGUUCCUGUAGUCCCUUCCUCAAAGCCUUCCUUUACUGCUCCCGGUGGGUCAAAGCCCCCCUUGUGGGUCUUCCUGGUACUGUGUACCUCUCCACAUACGUGCCAUGUCAGACUUGUGUAUUUACUUGUUCACUGUCGGUCUCUCCAAUGGGACUGGGUGUGAAGGAAGCAGGGCCAGUGUCCAUGAUUCUCUCCGGGAAUUAUUAUUACCCAAAGAGUGAUGAAGGCCAACGUGAUGAGCCCCACCAUGAGCGUUAUCUGCAAAGCCAAAGACAAGACGUAGCUUUAGAGCACCUGGGAGGUAGGAGGUCACACUGAUCACCAGACAGGUCUUGUGUUGUGAUUCCUCUAUUCCAGGGGUGUAACGACUGAGUAUUGAUACGUAAGAGAAAAGGAGACGGCAGCUACCCACAGAGAAGCACUCUCAGCAAGGCCUGUGGGCCACCCACGAAACACAGACCCACCACUUCUGGCUCCGUGACCAUCACCCCGCUCGAGGCCCCUGUCAGCUCUCCGGAGGAAGACCGUUCAAAGAUCUUCUCAUCAUGUGCCUCGUUUCCACUCUGGCUCUACCAAACCCACCUCCUAUGCAGCGGCUGGAACAAUCGUCUCACAAUCUAAGUAGAAUUGCAUCACUGCCCCACUCAUAGCAGAGUGAGACCUAUCUAUCUGCCCGUUGGAACGGGCCCCAGCCCCUGGCUAUGUCGCCUGCCUUGACUUGCCUUCCUCCCUCUCUCCAGCCCCAGCCGCUCCGCCUCCCUGGCUGCUUUUGGGAACCUCAGACACUCCAGCCCUGGGCUCGGUCUUCCGGGCUGCCCCUUCCCUUGUAGAGGUCUCCACUGAAUGGUCACCUGCUCAGAGAGGCUUUCCCUGGUCCUCAGGCAUGCGCUCGUCCUAUUUAUUUCAUGCCGUUCCUAGCUUUCGUCUCGGUCUGCGCUGUUGUUGACUUGCGUGUUGAUGUGUUUCCUACCCGUCUCUUCCUCCCAGGACGCACGUUGCAAGAGCCCUCUUAGGACAUGCCGAUGUGCUCGGUACCUGAACAAGGGAACAGGUUUGCCGCCUGGAAACACAAACACACUCUGAAUUAUCGGGAUUGAGUGGCAGAGAAAUACAGCAUGUUAGGGUUGCCAGGGUUUCAGGACUCAUCUGAUCCCAUGUAAUCUUCCUGAGGUGGGCAUCCAAACUCUGCCUGACCUCUUACAGGGCGUGAGAGCUACUUAUCACACAGUGGACCCAGGGGGAUAACCGAGCACUGCCAACGAGGUGACAUUAUGUCAUUUUCACGAGCUCCCUUAAAACUCCCACUCUGCCUGACCACUUAGCGUAACACUGAUCAAGCCCGUACUUGGGAGAUCGCGGAGGGGAGGGACAGACACGCAAAGAAAAUAAUCUAAGUCCGGGCCCCAAGUGUGAGGACUUUGGUAGAACAUUCCUUAGAAGGUCUCCAUUCUACCUAAGCCCCUUCCUAGCCGUCUCCAUGUUGCUGAGACACCUGUGCAGAUUAAAAGGAUUGAUGUUGGGACAAUGGCCAUCAUAGAGCCUGGCACACACUAAGUGCCCAAUAAAUGUUUGCCUCGGGUCUCUCACAGAGCAGGUGACUAUGGGGGAGGAGGGCACGGGCCUACCUGGCUCAAAACUACAUUUCCCAGCCUGCCCGGCAGCCGGUGGGACUGUCUGACCAAGCUCCUGCCAGUGUCAGCUGGGGUCAGAUAUGCACUUACUGGUAGGGCCUUAAAACACCGGCGUGGCCCCUCACCUCCCCUUCCCCUUCUCUGGGCCGACAAGCUUGUCCGGGACCCAGCUGCAACCAGUGAUGAGUCCAAUGUCCUGGAACGGGACAGGAAGGCAAAGAGUGAGACAGGGGAGCUGAGCUUCCUUGCCAGCCACUCGGCCUGGCUGUUGGAGGAAAGGCUGAGAGAUCCGUCUGUCAGUUAAGCCCGUGCAUCGGAGGCCUGUUUGUUACAACAGCCUUGUCCACAUCGGUGCUGAGACAAUGGGUAGGUGAGGGGCGCUGGGAAGUGGAGUCUGCGGGAAGGGAGGAGGGAGGGGGUGGGGGGAGGCCACAGAAUUCAAAGGUGAGGGGGAUUCUGUUGGAGCGCCCAGCGGAGGGAGGUGGGAGAGGGCGUGGGACAGAGGCCAUGACUCCGGUUUCAUGACUUGUCUAGUGCACAGCAGUGAGUGGGAGAACGGUAUUCGGGCAUCACUUCCUGGAAAGCCGUGGACAUUCUGGUAGAAGGGGGACCCAGGCUGAAGAUUCGGUGACAGCUGACUUCCUGGGAGCCCAUGGCCUCCUCCAGAGGUAGUCUGCAAAAGGACACAGAGAGCUGGACCCUGGAGAGACCCACCUCUGAGAAGUGAGAGACAGAGGCAGAGACCAAGAGGCAGAAAGGUCAAGCCCAAUGAACCCUGCCAGGCCACCGGACUGGGCAUCUCCUGUGAGGUCACUGGGCAUCCCCCAAAAGUCUUUCUUUUGUUAGCUCUGCCUUUAAUGUCUUUGGCCUUGGUGAAAACACAGCCAAGUAUUUAGGGAGAGGGAGACACGAUGUCUGCAAUUUACUUGCAAAUGGUUUGGAAAAAAACAUCUAUAGAGACAGAUGAAGGAAAUGCUACCACAUGGUCAGGAGAGGGGAAUCUGGUCGAAGGGCUGGGGGGGUUCUUUGUAAUAUUCUUGAGGCUUCUUUAAGUUUAAAAUGAUAUAAAGAUCUCCUUGUUUUAAAAAGAACACGUUGAGGAGAGAGCAGGGCGCAAGCGGACCGAGCUUCAGAGAGUGUACCCAGG
This 6694-nucleotide long non-coding RNA is filed under the name Lynx pardinus (Iberian lynx). Lineage: Eukaryota; Metazoa; Chordata; Mammalia; Carnivora; Felidae. The record is from RNAcentral.